RNAcentral lists this ribosomal RNA (465 nucleotides) under uncultured bacterium. Its description in RNAcentral is "partial 16S ribosomal RNA". It matches the Rfam family "Bacterial small subunit ribosomal RNA", at positions 28 to 507 of the family's 1533-position model. The record is from RNAcentral.
GACGGACGCUGGCGGCGUGCUUAACACAUGCAAGUCGAACGGAAAGGCUCCAGCUUGCUGGGGUACUCGAGUGGCGAACGGGUGAGUAACACGUGGGUGAUCUGCCCUGCACUCUGGGAUAAGCCUGGGAAACUGGGUCUAAUACCGGAUAGGACCGUGCUUUAGUGUGUGCGGUGGAAAGUUUUUCGGUGCAGGAUGAGCCCGCGGCCUAUCAGCUUGUUGGUGGGGUAAUGGCCUACCAAGGCGGCGACGGGUAGCCGGCCUGAGAGGGUGUACGGCCACAUUGGGACUGAGACACGGCCCAGACUCCUACGGGAGGCAGCAGUGGGGAAUAUUGCACAAUGGGCGCAAGCCUGAUGCAGCGACGCCGCGUGGGGGAUGACGGCCUUCGGGUUGUAAACCCCUUUCGGCAGGGACGAAGCUUUUGUGACGGUACCUGCAGAAGAAGCACCGGCUAACUACGUG